GUUUGUCGAUCAGCGAAGAGCAACUGAUUCGUAAUCAGUAGGUCGGUGGUUCGACUCCACUCAACAGCACCA
This 72-nucleotide transfer RNA is filed under the name Betaproteobacteria bacterium. Its description in RNAcentral is "tRNA-Thr". The stretch from base 3 to 64 matches the Rfam family "tRNA", at positions 5 to 66 of the family's 71-position model. Rfam says of the family: Transfer RNA (tRNA) molecules are approximately 80 nucleotides in length. Their secondary structure includes four short double-helical elements and three loops (D, anti-codon, and T loops). Lineage: Bacteria; Pseudomonadati; Pseudomonadota; Betaproteobacteria. The record is from RNAcentral.